GGAAUUGACGGGGCCCGGCACAAGCGGUGGAGCAUGUGGUUUAAUUCGACGCAACGCGAAGAACCUUACCAGGGCUUGACAUCCCCUGACCGCGUAUGAAAGUACGUUUUCACCCUCGGGUGACAGGGAGACAGGUGGUGCAUGGGUUGUCGUCAGCUCGUGUCGUGAGAUGUUGGGUUAAGUCCCGCAACGAGCGCAACCCCUAUUGUUAGUUGCCAUCAUUCAGUUGGGCACUCUAGCGAGACUGCCGGUAAUAAACCGGAGGACGGUGGGAUGACGUCAAAUCAUCAUGCCCCUUAUGACCUGGGCUACACACGUGCUACAAUGGUUGGUACAACGAGUUGCGAGUCGGUGACGGCGAGCUAAUCUCUUAAAGCCAAUCUCAGUUCGGAUUGUAGGCUGCAACUCGCCUACAUGAAGUCGGAAUCGCUAGUAAUCGCGGAUCAGCAUGCCCGCGGUCGAAUACGUUCCCGGGCCUU
Molecule: ribosomal RNA, 479 nt
Filed under: uncultured Streptococcus sp.
Lineage: Bacteria; Bacillati; Bacillota; Bacilli; Lactobacillales; Streptococcaceae
Description: bacterial SSU rRNA
Rfam family: Bacterial small subunit ribosomal RNA
Source: RNAcentral